GAUGAACGCUGGCGGCGUGCCUAAUACAUGCAAGUCGAGCGAACAGACGAGGAGCUUGCUCCUCUGACGUUAGCGGCGGACGGGUGAGUAACACGUGGAUAACCUACCUAUAAGACUGGGAUAACUUCGGGAAACCGGAGCUAAUACCGGAUAAUAUAUUGAACCGCAUGGUUCAAUAGUGAAAGACGGUUUUGCUGUCACUUCUAGAUGGAUCCGCGCCGCAUUAGCUAGUUGGUAAGGUAACGGCUUACCAAGGCAACGAUGCGUAGCCGACCUGAGAGGGUGAUCGGCCACACUGGAACUGAGACACGGUCAAGACUCCUACGGGAGGCAGCAGUAGGGAAUCUUCCGCAAUGGGCGAAAGCCUGACGGAGCAACGCCGCGUGAGUGAUGAAGGUCUUCGGAUCGUAAAACUCUGUUAUUAGGGAAGAACAAAUGUGUAAGUAACUAUGCACGUCUUGACGGUACCUAAUCAGAAAGCCACGGCUAACUACGUG
This 497-nucleotide ribosomal RNA is filed under the name uncultured bacterium. Its description in RNAcentral is "partial 16S ribosomal RNA". It matches the Rfam family "Bacterial small subunit ribosomal RNA", at positions 28 to 507 of the family's 1533-position model. The record is from RNAcentral.